UGAACCAGCAACUUGGGGGAAUGUAUAGCUUCGGCUAAUUAUACUGGGCUGUUUAAUUUAUUUAGAUUAAGUCUUCUCUGGCUUAUUCUUAAUAGAUUAUUCAUUUCAAUAACCGCACAUCAGUAAUGCGGAGUAUUUGCAUAAUUAUGUUAUGCAGAUUAAAUAUAUAAACAUUUAUAUAUUUAGUUGAUUAAUUUGUCAUCCUUAUUAACAGUUUAAGGGGAAUAAAUUAUAUUGUGAAAUAUAAAGAUAAUUUAUUCAAAUGGACAAGUAUAAGAUCGAUUUUAUCGAAUAAAGUUCUAGAUGAUUUUUUAAUUGAUUAUGACAUAUAUCUCGUCUAUGUGUCUUGACCAAAUUACGUGCCAGCAGUCGCGGCAAUACGUAGAAGACUAGUGUUAUUCAUCUUUAGUAGGUUUAAAGGGUACCUAGACGGUAUAAUUAGUCUUAAAUAGGAUACGAUUAUACUAGAGUUAUAUAUAAGAAGGGGAGUAUUUAUGGAGUAGAGUUGAAAUUCUUUGAUACCAUAACGACUGGUAACGGCGAAAGCAACCUUUUAUCUAAUAACUGACGUUGAGGGACGAAGGCUCGGGUCACGAACAGGAUUAGAUACCCUAGUAGUCCAAGCAGAGAAUGAUGAAUGCCAUAGAUUAGAUAUUUAUUUAGUCUAUAAAUGAAAGUGUAAGCAUUUCACCUCAAGAGUAAUGUGGCAACGCAGGAACUGAAAUCAUUAGACCGUUUCUGAAACCAGUAGUGAAGUAUGUUAUUUAAUUCGUAUUUACGCGAAAAACCUUACCACAACUUGAAUAUUAUCUAUUUAGAUAUUACAAGCGUUGCACGGCUGUCUUCAGUUAAUGUCGUGAGAUAUUGGUUAAUUCCAUUAAAUUAACGGAAACCCUUGCUUUAUUUGCGAUUUGUUCUAAAUAAAGCAGUCCACCAUUUAUAACGGAUAUAAUAAUAGGGACCAAGACAAGUCA
RNAcentral lists this ribosomal RNA (974 nucleotides) under Amicodisca virella. RNAcentral's name for it is "SSU rRNA". The stretch from base 269 to 974 matches the Rfam family "Bacterial small subunit ribosomal RNA", at positions 1 to 1192 of the family's 1533-position model. Lineage: Eukaryota; Fungi; Ascomycota; Leotiomycetes; Helotiales; Hyaloscyphaceae. The record is from RNAcentral.